Non-coding RNA from Ceratotherium simum simum (southern white rhinoceros), 783 nucleotides. The record is from RefSeq and is a predicted model, not a curated record. NCBI's taxonomy places the organism in Eukaryota, Metazoa, Chordata, Mammalia, Perissodactyla, Rhinocerotidae.
CGGGAGCUCCGCCAUGGCCGCUCCCGAAGGGAUGCCCAGCUCGGCCCUGCGGGUCCUGGAAGAGGCGUUGGGCGUGGGCUUGACCACCGCCGGGGACACCGCGGACGCGGUGGCCGCCGAGGGCGCCUACUACCUGGAGCAGGUGACCAUAACUGAAGCAUCUGAAGAUGAUUAUGAAUAUGAAGAGAUACCAGAUGACAAUUUUAGCAUUCCAGAAGGUGAAGAAGAUCUGGCAAAAGCAAUUCACAUGGUCCAAGAACAGGCUAUAGAUACUCAAAUUUUGGAGCAGAAAACAGUUCUUCCUUCAAAGCAAGCAGUUCCUGAAGUAAUAGAAGACUUUCUCUGUAAUUUCCUCAUCAAAAUGGGAAUGACCAGAACUCUUGAUUGCUUUCAGUCUGAAUGGUAUGAGUUGAUACAGAAGGGAGUAACUGAACUUAGAGAGACUGGGAAUGUUCCAGAUGUCUACACCCAGAAUAUGCUUUUAGAAAAUGAGAACAAAAAUUUGAAGAAAGACUUGAAGCACUACAAACAGGCGGCUGAUAAGGCUAGAGAAGAUCUGCUUAAAACUCAGAAAGAACGUGAUUUUCAUCGAAUGCACCACAAGCGAAUAGUCCAGGAGAAAAACAAAUUAAUUAAUGACCUCAAAGGGUAAACUGCUGAUGUUUGUUGGCAUUAUCUAUUAAAGAGUUGAUUAAUUAGUGUUAAGCGCCUUGGCCGCGGCAGAAGGUUUCAGGUUGAAGUUACAUUAUGCAUCUUAUGAACCCACAAUGAGGGUGUUACAUG